This 75-nucleotide transfer RNA is filed under the name Candidatus Roizmanbacteria bacterium RIFCSPHIGHO2_02_FULL_37_13b. RNAcentral's name for it is "tRNA-Arg". It matches the Rfam family "tRNA". Rfam says of the family: Transfer RNA (tRNA) molecules are approximately 80 nucleotides in length. Their secondary structure includes four short double-helical elements and three loops (D, anti-codon, and T loops). RNAcentral also lists the same sequence under 1 other name. The record is from RNAcentral. Lineage: Bacteria; Candidatus Roizmaniibacteriota.
GCCUCCGUAGCUCAAUGGACAGAGUACGUGGCUUCGGACCAUGGGAUGGGGGUUCGAUUCCCUCCGGAGGCACUA